RNAcentral lists this ribosomal RNA (465 nucleotides) under Vreelandella stevensii. RNAcentral describes it as "partial 16S ribosomal RNA". It matches the Rfam family "Bacterial small subunit ribosomal RNA", at positions 338 to 795 of the family's 1533-position model. The record is from RNAcentral. Lineage: Bacteria; Pseudomonadati; Pseudomonadota; Gammaproteobacteria; Oceanospirillales; Halomonadaceae.
CCUACGGGGUGCAGCAGUGGGGAAUAUUGGACAAUGGGCGAAAGCCUGAUCCAGCCAUGCCGCGUGUGUGAAGAAGGCCUUCGGGUUGUAAAGCACUUUCAGUGGGGAAGAAAGCCUUGGGGCUAAUACCCUCGAGGAAGGACAUCACCCACAGAAGAAGCACCGGCUAACUCCGUGCCAGCAGCCGCGGUAAUACGGAGGGUGCGAGCGUUAAUCGGAAUUACUGGGCGUAAAGCGCGCGUAGGCGGUCUGAUAAGCCGGUUGUGAAAGCCCCGGGCUCAACCUGGGAACGGCAUCCGGAACUGUCAGGCUAGAGUGCAGGAGAGGAAGGUAGAAUUCCCGGUGUAGCGGUGAAAUGCGUAGAGAUCGGGAGGAAUACCAGUGGCGAAGGCGGCCUUCUGGACUGACACUGACGCUGAGGUGCGAAAGCGUGGGUAGCAAACAGGAUUAGCUACCCGAGUAGUC